CCCUUAGAUGUUCUGGGCUGCACACGUGCUACACUGGCAGGUUCAGCGAGCUUCAUGCCCUGAUCUGAAAGGAAUGGGAAAUCUUUUCAAAACCUGCCGUGCUUGGGAUAGAUGUUUGCAAUUAUUCAUCUUCAACGAGGAUUGCCUUGUAAGCGCACGUCAUCAGCGUGCAUUGAAUACGACCCUGUAUUCUGUACACACCGCCCGUCGCUCCUACCGAUUGAAGUUUUCGGUGAGUUGACAGGAGGAUUUUUUUGAAACUGGUUCGCCAGUGGAUUUUAUAUCCAAAUGCCAACGAAUCGAUGGCUUUAGAGGAAGGAGAAGUCGUAACA
This 332-nucleotide ribosomal RNA is filed under the name uncultured eukaryote. RNAcentral's name for it is "partial 18S ribosomal RNA". It matches the Rfam family "Eukaryotic small subunit ribosomal RNA", at positions 1470 to 1796 of the family's 1831-position model. The record is from RNAcentral.